RNAcentral lists this ribosomal RNA (328 nucleotides) under uncultured Butyrivibrio sp. RNAcentral describes it as "partial 16S ribosomal RNA". The record is from RNAcentral. Lineage: Bacteria; Bacillati; Bacillota; Clostridia; Lachnospirales; Lachnospiraceae.
GGAGUCUGGGCCGUGUCUCAGUCCCAAUGUGGCCGUCCGCCCUCUCAGGCCGGCUACUGAUCGUCGCUUUGGUGGGCCGUUACCCCGCCAACUGGCUAAUCAGACGCGGAUCCAUCUUUCACCGAUAAAUCUUUCCUCAUAUCACCAUGCGGUGACAUGAGCGUAUGCGGUAUUACCAGCCGUUUCCAGCUGCUAUCCCCCUGUGAAAGGCAGGUUAUCCACGCGUUACUCACCCGUCCGCCACUAAACUAAAAGAAAUCACUCCGAAAAGAUCUUUCAAUCAGUCCCGUUCGACUUGCAUGUGUUAGGCACGCCGCCAGCGUUCAUC